This is a non-coding RNA of Dermacentor andersoni, 514 nucleotides long. The record is from RefSeq and is a predicted model, not a curated record. NCBI's taxonomy places the organism in Eukaryota, Metazoa, Arthropoda, Arachnida, Ixodida, Ixodidae.
CUACUUUUUAGGUCCUCCAGGAAUUUAAAGCAAUCACUAAUGUGACCCUGCUUGAUGUAUUGAGAGGAGUGCUUGACCCAAUAGCCAAAAAUUUCUUCAAAGUGCGCAGAAGAAACGCCACCUUGAAGAUUUUUUUAUAGGGCUGCAGAAAAUUAAAGAUGGCGUCCCCCAGCCGGAGCAGAACGACUUGAUGCUCACCGCGGCCAUAUUUGUGCUGCCCAGCCUGGUGAAGGAACGGGUUGAGGCGUUUGUGUGCAGUCGCGAGCCUGAAGCGGCGCACGUUGUACCAACUGUCACCUACACCGGCAACAUUCUGGAGCUGCCAGAGUUUACGGUCCAGCUCGAAGCGCUGGAGAUCCAGGCGCCGAACCUACUACAAGCUGUCGCCACACAAAUGGCAUUGUACUGGACUUUUGACAUUGUUUUUUGUGCAAAAGCACAGAAAACUGUUGACCUGCUGUGCCGCCUGAUUGGUUUAAGCAGUGCCAUACAAGCGACACCACUUGUCCGUGUG